UGCCAGCAUUUUCAUUUCAGAAGAAACAA
This 29-nucleotide non-coding RNA is filed under the name Mus musculus (house mouse). The record is from RNAcentral. Lineage: Eukaryota; Metazoa; Chordata; Mammalia; Rodentia; Muridae.